Molecule: ribosomal RNA, 476 nt
Filed under: uncultured organism
Description: partial 16S ribosomal RNA
Rfam family: Bacterial small subunit ribosomal RNA
Source: RNAcentral
GUACACUCCUGCGGGAGGCAGCAGUGGGGAAUUUUGGACAAUGGGCGAAAGCCUGAUCCAGCAAUGCCGCGUGCAGGAUGAAGGCCUUCGGGUUGUAAACUGCUUUUGUACGGAACGAAAAAGCUCCUUCUAAUACAGGGGGCCCAUGACGGUACCGUAAGAAUAAGCACCGGCUAACUACGUGCCAGCAGCCGCGGUAAUACGUAGGGUGCGAGCGUUAAUCGGAAUUACUGGGCGUAAAGCGUGCGCAGGCGGUUAUGUAAGACAGAUGUGAAAUCCCCGGGCUCAACCUGGGAACUGCAUUUGUGACUGCAUGGCUAGAGUACGGUAGAGGGGGAUGGAAUUCCGCGUGUAGCAGUGAAAUGCGUAGAUAUGCGGAGGAACACCGAUGGCGAAGGCAAUCCCCUGGACCUGUACUGACGCUCAUGCACGAAAGCGUGGGGAGCAAACAGGAUUAGAUACCCGAGUAGUCCCAU